UCAAAUUUAAAAUCUGGUGACCUUUGGCCAUCCGAGUUGUAAUUUAGAGAAGCGUCUUCUGCGCUGGACCGUGCACAAGUCUCCUGGAAUGGAGCGUCAUAGAGGGUGAGAAUCCCGUCUUUGGCACGGACUCCCAGUGCUUCUGUGAUGCGCUCUCGACGAGUCGAGUUGUUUGGGAAUGCAGCUCAAAAUGGGUGGUGAACUCCAUCUAAAGCUAAAUACUGGCGAGAGACCGAUAGCGAACAAGUACCGUGAGGGAAAGAUGAAAAGCACUUUGGAAAGAGAGUGAAACAGUACGUGAAAUUGUUGAAAGGGAAACGCUUGAAGUCAGUCGCGUCGACCGAGACUCAGCCUUGCCUUGGCUUGGUGUGCUUUUCGGCUCGACGGGUCAGCAUCAAUUUCGAUCCUCGGAUAAUGGCAAGGGAAAGGUAGCACCUUUAUAGGUGUGUUAUAGUCCUCUGUCGCAUGCGAGGGUCAGGAUUGAGGAACUCAGCACGCACCUUUGGGUGUCGGGGCCUUGGCCCACGUUACGUGCUUAGGAUGCUGGCGUAAUGGCUUUAAACGACCCGUCUUGAAACACGGACCAAGGAGUCUAACAUACCCGCGAGUGUUCGGGUGGAAAACCCGUGCGCGUAAUGAAAGUAAAAGUUGGGACCUCUGUCGUGGAGGGCACCGACGCCCGGACCAGACCUUCUGUGACGGCUCUGCGGUAGAGCGUGUAUG
Molecule: ribosomal RNA, 723 nt
Filed under: Russula xanthovirens
Lineage: Eukaryota; Fungi; Basidiomycota; Agaricomycetes; Russulales; Russulaceae
Description: partial large subunit ribosomal RNA
Rfam family: Eukaryotic large subunit ribosomal RNA
Source: RNAcentral